RNAcentral lists this ribosomal RNA (251 nucleotides) under uncultured bacterium. Its description in RNAcentral is "partial 16S ribosomal RNA". It matches the Rfam family "Bacterial small subunit ribosomal RNA", at positions 524 to 776 of the family's 1533-position model. The record is from RNAcentral.
UACGGAGGAUGCGAGCGUUAUCCGGAUUUAUUGGGUUAAAGGGUGCGUAGGCGGACUGUCAAGUCAGCGGUAAAAUUGAGAGGCUCAACCUCUUCCCGCCGUUGAAACUGGUGGUCUUGAGUGGAUGAGAGGUACGCGGAAUGCGUGGUGUAGCGGUGAAAUGCAUAGGUAUCACGCAGAACUCCGAUUGCGAAGGCAGCGUACCGGCAUCCAACUGACGCUGAGGCACGAAAGCGUGGGGAUCAAACAGG